Molecule: ribosomal RNA, 503 nt
Filed under: uncultured bacterium
Lineage: Bacteria
Description: partial 16S ribosomal RNA
Rfam family: Bacterial small subunit ribosomal RNA
Source: RNAcentral
AUUGAACGCUGGCGGCAGGCUUAACACAUGCAAGUCGAGCGGGGUGAUGGUGCUUGCACUAUCACUUAGCGGCGGACGGGUGAGUAAUGCUUAGGAAUCUGCCUAUUAGUGGGGGACAACAUCUCGAAAGGGAUGCUAAUACCGCAUAUGUCCUACGGGAGAAAGCAGGGGAUCACUUGUGACCUUGCGCUAAUAGAUGAGCCUAAGUCGGAUUAGCUAGUUGGUGGGGUAAGGGCCUACCAAGGCGACGAUCUGUAGCGGGUCUGAGAGGAUGAGCCGCCACACUGGGACUGAGACACGGCCCAGACUCCUACGGGAGGCAGCAGUGGGGAAUAUUGGACAAUGGGGGGAACCCUGAUCCAGCCAUGCCGCGUGUGUGAAGAAGGCCUUAUGGUUGUAAAGCACUUUAAGCGAGGAGGAGGCUCUUUUGGUUAAUACCCAAGAUGAGUGGACGUUACUCGCAGAAUAAGCACCGGCUAACUCUGUGCCAGCCGCCGCAGUAA